CCUACGGGAGGCAGCAGUGGGGAAUAUUGCACAAUGGGGGAAACCCUGAUGCAGCGACGCCGCGUGAGUGAAGAAGUAUCUCGGUACGUAAAGCCCUAUCAGCAGGGAAGAAAAUGACGGUACCUGACUAAGAAGCCCCGGCUAACUACGUGCCAGCAGCCGCGGUAAUACGUAGGGGGCAAGCGUUAUCCGGCUUUUCUGGGGGUAAAGGGAGCGUAGACGGCAGCACAAGUCUGGAGUGAAAUCCCGGGGCGUAACCCCGGAACUGCUUUGGAAACUGUGCGGCUGGAGUGAGGGAGGGGUAAGCGGAAUUCCUGGUGUAGCGGUGAAAUGCGUAGAUAUUAGGAGGAACACCGGUGGCGAAGGCGGCUUACUGGACUGUAACUGACGUUGAGGCUCGAAAGCGUGGGGAGCGAACAGGAUUAGAUACCCUUGUAGUC
RNAcentral lists this ribosomal RNA (440 nucleotides) under uncultured bacterium. Its description in RNAcentral is "partial 16S ribosomal RNA". It matches the Rfam family "Bacterial small subunit ribosomal RNA", at positions 338 to 795 of the family's 1533-position model. The record is from RNAcentral.